RNAcentral lists this microRNA precursor (118 nucleotides) under Podarcis lilfordi (Lilford's wall lizard). The record is from RNAcentral. Lineage: Eukaryota; Metazoa; Chordata; Lepidosauria; Squamata; Lacertidae.
UGUCCAGUAGCACCUUAGAGACCAACUAAGUUUGUUCUGGGUAUAAAUUUUCGUGUGCAUGCACACUUCUUCUUAUACCCAGAACAAACUUAGUUGGUUUCUAAGGUGCUACUGGACA